UGGUGGAGUGAUUUGUCUGGUUAAUUCCGUUAACGAACGAGACCUCGACCUGCUAAAUAGUCUGGCGAACCUCUGGUUCGUACUGACUUCUUAGAGGGACUAUCGGUGUUUAUCCGUUUGGAAGUGCGAGGCAAUAACA
This 139-nucleotide ribosomal RNA is filed under the name uncultured eukaryote. Its description in RNAcentral is "partial 18S ribosomal RNA". It matches the Rfam family "Eukaryotic small subunit ribosomal RNA", at positions 1299 to 1458 of the family's 1831-position model. The record is from RNAcentral.